Molecule: ribosomal RNA, 519 nt
Filed under: uncultured eukaryote
Lineage: Eukaryota
Description: SSU rRNA
Rfam family: Eukaryotic small subunit ribosomal RNA
Source: RNAcentral
AGGGCACCACCAGGAGUGGAGCCUGCGGCUUAAUUUGACUCAACACGGGAAAACUCACCCGGCCCGGACACUGGAAGGAUUGACAGAUUGAGAGCUCUUUCUUGAUUCAGUGGGUGGUGGUGCAUGGCCGUUCUUAGUUGGUGGAGUGAUUUGUCUGGUUAAUUCCGAUAACGAACGAGACUCUAGCCUACUAAAUAGAUCGUCGGCUUACAAACGCCGGCGAGACUUCUUAGAGGGACAGGCGGUGAUUCAACCGCACGAAACAGAGCAAUAACAGGUCUGUGAUGCCCUUAGAUGUCCGGGGCCGCACGCGCGCUACACUGAAGUGAUCAGCGUGCUUUUUCAACCUACUCUGUCAAGAGUGGGGAACCCAAUGAACCUUCUUCGUGAUUGGGAUAGGGGAUUGUAAUUAUUCCCCUUGAACGAGGAAUUCCCAGUAAGCGCGAGUCAUAAGCUCGCGUUGAUUACGUCCCUGCCCUUUGUACACACCGCCCGUCGCUACUACCGAUUGAAUGUUUU